UACAGAGGAUGCAAGUGUUAUCCAGAUUUAUUGGGCGUAAAGGGUUUGUAGAUGGUAUUCUAAGUCUUUUGUAAAAUAUUUAAGCUUAACUUAAAAAUUGCAAAAGAUACUAGUAUUCUAGGGAGUGAUAGAGGUAAAGGGAAUUUUCAGUGAAGCGGUAAAAUGUGUAAAUAUUGAAAGGAACGCCAAUAGCGAAAGCACAUUACUUGGUCAUUUCUAACAUUGAGGAACGAAAGCUAAGGUAGCAAACGGG
This 253-nucleotide ribosomal RNA is filed under the name uncultured bacterium. RNAcentral's name for it is "partial 16S ribosomal RNA". It matches the Rfam family "Bacterial small subunit ribosomal RNA", at positions 524 to 776 of the family's 1533-position model. The record is from RNAcentral.